UGAAAACUGUUCCUGAAAACAUUUGAAGAGAGAAAUAGGCAAUGCAGUAACAUAAUCUUGUUUCAUAUUUGAUCAGUGCUGCCUAGUUUGACACUUUGAUCAGAGUUCACGCGCCGUCAUUGACACUGCGUUAGAGACU
Long non-coding RNA from Sander lucioperca (pikeperch), 139 nucleotides. RefSeq lists it as uncharacterized. The transcript has 3 exons. Lineage: Eukaryota; Metazoa; Chordata; Actinopteri; Perciformes; Percidae. The record is from RefSeq and is a predicted model, not a curated record.